UCCUCCCUGUCCAUCUUCUGGUGUGGCUGGCCGGCCGGGGAUAAGGGAGUUGUGGGGAUUAACAUUGGGCCGGCCUUUCGCACAACGGAUGGACUGUGAUAGAAUCUUUGAUAUGCUUCUCUUUUAAUCCGGGUACCGAAAAUGAACUGGGAUUGCUAGAUACGGGCUUAGGGUGAAGAGUCGGCGUUGCAGGAUUUAUUUUAUUUAUUUAGAGAAUUUUUAUGUAUAUCUGAGAAAAUUGACUUUGUAUAAAAGAGGGCAUAUUUUUAUGAUCCUGGUGUAUUUGGAUGUAUUUGGAUUUGUAUAAAUCGAGGAUUUUAUUAUUAUUAGUA
This is a long non-coding RNA of Cornus florida, 332 nucleotides long. RefSeq lists it as uncharacterized. The record is from RefSeq and is a predicted model, not a curated record. The transcript is spliced from 2 exons. Lineage: Eukaryota; Viridiplantae; Streptophyta; Magnoliopsida; Cornales; Cornaceae.